CAAACUUCUACUACCAAAAUUUAAGUACUCUUCUUACCAUCUAAUUACACUUAUUCUAUAGUUAAGCUUCAACAUGGCAGCAAGUGCAUUCUCGAUGAGAAGCAUGAAGGUAAGGUCAUGGCAGAGGUGUUCAAAGCAAGUUAGAGAGCAAAGAACACGGCUUUACAUCAUCUGGAGAUGCACUGUGAUGCUUCUGUGUUGGCAUGAGUAGCCAUAUCCCAGCCCCUUUUGUUGAUGGUUCAAGCAUCAGGCAAGGUAAUGGAGAGUUUAUCAAGUGGCUAACUUUAUUACAGGAAUGGAAAGCCUAGAUGCUGAAAAAUGAAAGGUGGACCAUUGUAAAGUUAAUAAUGAAGAGCAGAUGUGUGAAAUACAUGUAAUAUAGAAAACAAAAUUGAUGGAUGCUUUUUCGCUUUUUAUUUUCUCUCGACUCUGUGAAGUGUGAACAGACCUCUUGCAACUUUUUUUAAGGCUUCUUCAAAUCAUCAUGAACUUGAGGCGCAAGUGCAUUCUACAAGAGUGACUGGAUUUAUAGAUGUUCACCAAUUGUAAAUAGGCAAGAGGGAUGUGUAUGUCAAGCUAUUUCUUGAUGGCCAUCAUUUACAAGGCUGAAUAUGAAAUUAGACUGGUCGAUUGAUCACUGAUGGAAGUUUGCAGUUUCAUCAAUUUAUAAAUUAUAAAAAAUCUGAUAGACAAAAUAAAAACUGGGCAACAAAAAAUAUGUGGGGACCAGUUCCAGCUUAUUUAAUUGCACUUUGCAGGCAGGGUAGGCGUAAAUGAAAUAAAGAAGAUGCAGAUCAAAUUGAGAUUUGCCAAACGAAAUUCUUUCCAAUUUUCUAUUUGAAUCUAUAUCGAACUAUAAAUAAGGAAAACGAAAAAUGAAAAGGAAAUCACAUAUGAUAGCUAGUAAUCCCUAGGAAGAAAGAAACAUUUACGACCAACAGUCGGCAGGUUCCAAACUUCAAAUUUCAGUGCUUAUGUGGGCGAUUCUCAUGAAAGUUCUGUACGGCUGUUGCUGCCAAACUUCAAUAACAUUUUCUGUGCUCCUUGUUUUUUUCAGGUCUGCGCUUACGUUCUCUGUUAAUCUCGACUUCGAAACCGCUUCUUUGCCAAAGAAGGGAAGUGAUUUGGCAAUUUCCAGGGGGCUGGCCCAUGUUUACUAUCAACUCAAACUUCGAAGUGCAGCCAUGGAAAAUGUCAAGAACAUUAGUUGAAUUGGUUCGCAUGUUUAUUUGAUCAGUCAUUUCAUAAAAUCCAAAAAUAGAGAUUAAUAGCUAUUAACCUAUACAAUGUUAAAUCAAAAUCUCCAACACCUAAUAUGGAACCCAUUUAGAAGAAAUUAUUCCUUCUUUAUCCACCAUUUACAUAACUCCACCAUUUACAUACCACUUCAGCUUUACAUAUCAGUGUCAUUUUCAAAGAAAUCCCACCCAUCAUCCAAAAGCUCUUUGCGAUUAUUUUCCUCGUCUUCCUGUUGGCUCUUAGGUGAGUGGUUACAAAUUGAGGAUGUGGGACUUCUGUCUUUAGGGCUCUUAGAUACUUCUUUUUGCUCAGGAAUCAGUUCAUCAGACGCCACGCUUUUAACAGAUGAGGCAGACGAGGCCAAGAUGCAACUUGUUUGGCUUGAGGUAAUUGAUUUGCUCAAUGGCACACGCUCAUCAAAUCUCUCUUUCAGCAAUCUCACAUCCUGACAAAUAACAGAUAUUUCUCCUUGUAAUGUAUCAACGAACCGGCCACGGUCCAUCAGAAACUCCCGAAGCUUAGAAUUUUCCUCUGCCUCCUGCUGAAGGAACUUGGACUCCUGCACCACCUUCUCCAUGAUGGCCUCUUGUUCAGCAAGAGCAUUUCGUGCAGAUUCUUCUUUUUCCAGCUUCUGCUCCUCAGCAGUUCUCCUUAGUUCCUCCGCUGCAUCUAGUCGAGCUUCCAGGGUUUGUUGCAUCUGUAUGAAUGUAGCAGUUACCAGAUCACAAGAGAUAAACACACACACACAUAAGCAAUUUUUAAGUAGUCCAGUCAAUGCAAACCCAUGUCUACAUUUGAUUCAUCCAAUAUUUAAUAUAAAACACAUUAAUCUUAUUACAUCACAAGCGACUUGAUUAUAAGGAAUACCUCAUCGAGAAUUGCAAGAGCUUUAUCUCUUUCCUCAGACAAGCUGAUUAGCCUAGCCUGCAACUCCCUCACUUCAGUGGCUAGAAUGGCCUUCUCACCAUAAAUUUCCCCUGCAUGCAUGUCAUUUGCCUCCUUUGCAGGUUCCAGCAUUUGUUUAAGUUCCUUCACCUUGGUUAGAAUGUCCAGGCCUGCACUAGCAGCUUCCUCUUUGGCUAGCUCAGCAAUUUUCUCUUGAAGUUCAACUUGUCUCAUCAUGUUCAUAAUUGAUUCCAUUGCUAAAAACAAAGUUUUCUUGUUGUUUUUAGCAGCUUCAAUAACAUCCUCAAGAAAAUCAAUUUUGAUGUCCUGCUUGGACUUCAAAAUCUUACUGCCACUGGAAGUGGCAGACAAUUCUGAUUGAAGAUCACCUUCUGCAGCAUCUAGUGUCUCUUCAACCAUAGAAUUUUCCAAUUCCAAACCAGAACAACCUAAACACGACACCACUUGAGGGACUUGUUCACUAUGAGGCCUAUCAAAAUUACCAGCCGAAGAGCCAUCAUGAUCUUUCCACCUGCUAUCAUGCCCACAAUUUUCCAGUGACAAAUUAAUUGGCAUGAUUUGAGAAGUUUGUUCAUCCCCAACUUUGAUGUUAAUCCCUUGACAUUUACCCAAUGAUGAAGCUGGCACCUCACUUUCAGUACAUGAUUGACUGAAAUCCAUAUUUUCAUCACACGACAAAGCACUUAAUGUGACUUUGGAAGUCUGACUUGUGGCAGACUGGACAUUUUCUUCUUGAUGUUGAGACCCCAUCAACAAUAUUGAUUCCUCCCUUUCAAUAUUCAAGUCAGACGGCACAUUGUCUUGAUGUUGAGACCUCAACAAUAAUAUGAGUUCCUCACUUUCAAUAUUUCGUUGAAGCUGAUUAGUGCUACUUCCUGGGAAUUGAUUGGUGUCAACAUUUGUGCUACAAGAUAACAGUGUAGGUGGAUUCAGUGCCUUUUCUUGAUGAGUUGAACCAGAAUGAUGGAUGGCACUUGUAAGAUCAGUUUUACAGGCAUCUUCUUUGGCUAUUGAUUUUGAUUCCAAAGAAGUGGUCACAGUCCUAUUGUUCUGUUCGUCAUUCACAACUCUUCCACCUGAUAGCCCGCUUGGACUGUCAACCAUGGACUGUUGUGAAAGAAAAGGAAGAACCUCUGAAAUAAUGACUUCAGCAGCUCCAUUAACAUCUUUGGGGUUCUCAAUAGCAACAGCCUUUAGCAUGCGUGAAUCCACCACACUACUGCCUUGUCGUCCAACAGACCAUGCCAUUCCUCUCCAACUUGGAACUGCUUCAGUGAGUGUCAAGCUCUACCGAUAUAGCCAUUGGCAAAAGGACGAGAUUGAUAGAAUAGUUGCUGAAAGGUUGCAAGCUGGAAUCAUACAACCAAGUUGUAGUCCGUUCUCAGGUCCUGUGGAAACAGCUCCAUCAAGCUUCGAUAAACUGCUUUGAAACCCAUAUCCAACAGUUAGUAAUCUAACGUUCGAGCCCAAGGGAAAGGGAAAGAGUAUGAUUGUGCAAGUGACGAAGCCGUUGAGAAGAAGUUUACAUUUGGGUUUUGCAGCGUUCGUUUCUCGGGAAAAUGAGUAGGCUGACAGGAGGAUACCUAGCGACUAAGAAACUGGAUAUAAGCGUAAAAAUGGGGAUCAACGAGGGCAUUCAAGUCAAAUUCUCUUUAUUUAUCUGUAGUACUUUAUUAUCCGGAUAUUUUCGCGAUGGAACUGAGAAACUGCAUGGUGUAGGUUUCGUCCGGAGUUAAUGUGAGGCGCAAGUCGUAUCAUUUAUCGUUUCGUCUGGUCAUUUUCAGAUUUUCGACGAGUGAUUUCCAGGAAGCUUCUUCUGCCGGUUUG
Molecule: unclassified non-coding RNA, 3972 nt
Filed under: Hevea brasiliensis (rubber tree)
Lineage: Eukaryota; Viridiplantae; Streptophyta; Magnoliopsida; Malpighiales; Euphorbiaceae
Source: RNAcentral